Molecule: ribosomal RNA, 251 nt
Filed under: uncultured bacterium
Lineage: Bacteria
Description: partial 16S ribosomal RNA
Rfam family: Bacterial small subunit ribosomal RNA
Source: RNAcentral
ACGUAUGGUGCAAGCGUUAUCCGGAUUUACUGGGUGUAAAGGGGGCGUAGACGGAGUGGCAAGUCUGAUGUGAAAACCCGGGGCUCAACCCCGGGACUGCAUUGGAAACUGUCAAUCUAGAGUACCGGAGAGGUAAGCGGAAUUCCUAGUGUAGCGGUGAAAUGCGUAGAUAUUAGGAGGAACACCAGUGGCGAAGGCGGCUUACUGGACGGUAACUGACGUUGAGGCUCGAAAGCGUGGGGAGCAAACAG